RNAcentral lists this ribosomal RNA (274 nucleotides) under uncultured bacterium. Its description in RNAcentral is "partial 16S ribosomal RNA". It matches the Rfam family "Bacterial small subunit ribosomal RNA", at positions 523 to 796 of the family's 1533-position model. The record is from RNAcentral.
AUACGGAGGGAGCGAGCGUUAAUCGGAAUUACUGGGCGUAAAGCGCGCGUAGGUGGCUAUGUAAGUCGGAUGUGAAAGCCCCGGGCUCAACCCGGGAACUGCGCUUAUUACUGAUAAACUAGAGUCCGGGAGAGGGUGGCGGAAUUCCCAGUGUAGAGGUGAAAUUCGUAGAUAUUGGGAAGAACACCAGUUGCGAAGGCGGCCACCUGGACCGGUACUGACGCUGAGGUGCGAAAGCGUGGGGAGCAAACAGGAUUAGAAACCCCAGUAGUCC